This is a long non-coding RNA of Brienomyrus brachyistius, 407 nucleotides long. RefSeq lists it as uncharacterized. The record is from RefSeq and is a predicted model, not a curated record. Lineage: Eukaryota; Metazoa; Chordata; Actinopteri; Osteoglossiformes; Mormyridae. The transcript has 3 exons.
CCCAUUCGUACCAUAACAGACAAUGCGGUGCUAUGCAGCUCGUCGGUGACUUUCGGCCGCGUUCGGCUCCAACUGACCGGUCGUAGGUCCGAUUCGGCUGUAAGCAGGUUGCCAACUCUGACGCAUCUGGCGCGAGACUCGGGCUUUAAGAUUCAAACGCACACAGCAAUAAAUCUUAUGGAGAAUCUCUAUUAAUCCAUUUAAAACCUAAAACUGGCUACAUCAAAAGUGUUUGGGCAGUUUGCAAAUCCUAAAGAUGAUUUACAAGUUGGGGCAGAGACUGUCAUACGCUCUGGGUAACACUCACAGCCAGAUGCCGCGCUACAGUGAAAGAUUUACAAAUGUGACAAAAGCAAACUGACAAACCGAAUAAGCCCAGGACACUGGAAAAUACUUGAAAAACAUGG